Non-coding RNA from Rattus norvegicus (Norway rat), 69 nucleotides. Lineage: Eukaryota; Metazoa; Chordata; Mammalia; Rodentia; Muridae. The record is from Rfam.
GGGGAUUUGGCUCAGUGGUAGAGCGCUUGCCUAGCAAGCGCAAGGCCCUGGGUUCAAUCCCCAGCUCCG